UACGUAGGGGGCGAGCGUUGUCCGGAUUUAUUGGGCGUAAAGCGCGUGUAGGCGGCCCGGUAAGUCCGCUGUGAAAGUCGGGGGCUCAACCCUCGGAUGCCGGUGGAUACUGUCGGGCUUGAGUACGGAAGAGGCGAGUGGAAUUCCUGGUGUAGCGGUGAAAUGCGCAGAUAUCAGGAGGAACACCAAUUGCGAAGGCAGCUCGCUGGGACGUGACUGACGCUGAGACGCGAAAGCGUGGGGAGCAAACAGG
RNAcentral lists this ribosomal RNA (253 nucleotides) under uncultured bacterium. RNAcentral's name for it is "partial 16S ribosomal RNA". It matches the Rfam family "Bacterial small subunit ribosomal RNA", at positions 524 to 776 of the family's 1533-position model. The record is from RNAcentral.